AGUGAACGCUGGCAGUAGGCCUAACACAUGCAAGUCGAACGGCAGCACAGUAAGAGCUUGCUCUUACGGGUGGCGAGUGGCGGACGGGUGAGGAAUACAUCGGAAUCUACUUUUUCGUGGGGGAUAACGUAGGGAAACUUACGCUAAUACCGCAUACGACCUACGGGUGAAAGCAGGGGAUCUUCGGACCUUGCGCGAUUGAAUGAGCCGAUGUCGGAUUAGCUAGUUGGCGGGGUAAAGGCCCACCAAGGCGACGAUCCGUAGCUGGUCUGAGAGGAUGACCAGCCACAGGGGAACAGAGACCCGUCCCAGACUCCUCCGGGGGGCAGGAGUGGGGAAUAUUGAACAAGGGGCGCAAGCCUGAUCCACCCAUACCGGGUGGAUGAAGAAGGCCUGCGGGUUGUAAACCCCUUUUUUGGGAAAAAAAAAGCAGGAGGUUAAACCCCGGCUUUCAUGAGGAUACCAAAAAAAAAGCCCCGGGCAAGCUUGGGG
RNAcentral lists this ribosomal RNA (492 nucleotides) under uncultured bacterium. RNAcentral describes it as "partial 16S ribosomal RNA". It matches the Rfam family "Bacterial small subunit ribosomal RNA", at positions 29 to 508 of the family's 1533-position model. The record is from RNAcentral.